This 355-nucleotide transfer RNA is filed under the name uncultured Microcystis sp. RNAcentral describes it as "partial 16S-23S ribosomal RNA intergenic spacer". The stretch from base 133 to 206 matches the Rfam family "tRNA". The record is from RNAcentral. Lineage: Bacteria; Bacillati; Cyanobacteriota; Cyanophyceae; Chroococcales; Microcystaceae.
AAGGAAGACCUAAUUCGAGUAUAAGACGAAAAAAGAGUAGUCGAAACCAAGAAUCAAUCCCAAAAGGUCGGAACGAGGUAUGUGGCUUUCAAACUAGGUUCUGGGUUCACACAAGACCUGAAUCAGGAACAAGGGCUAUUAGCUCAGGUGGUUAGAGCGCACCCCUGAUAAGGGUGAGGUCCCUGGUUCGAGUCCAGGAUGGCCCACCUGCACAGGUGGCAAAAACAAAGAAGCGAGGAAUCAGCACCUUAUCUUAUCUAUAUAUAAGAGAGAAUGCUGGCUCUGAGUAAAGAGUCCAGAGGAACCUUGAAAACUGCAUAGAGCUAGGUGAAAAAGCCAAAAAAGAAGACCGCAA